UUUUUUUUUAAGAUUUUAUUUAUUUAUUUGACAGAGAGAGAGAUCACAAGUAGGCAGAGAGGCACUCAGAGAGAGACGGAGAAGCAGGUUCCCCGCUGAGCAGAGAGCCCAUGUAGGACUCGAUUCCAGGACCCUGGGAUCACGACCUGAGCCCAAGGCAGAGGCUUAACCAACUGAGCCACCCAGGCGCCCAUCAAAGAAUUUUCUUACCACAUGCCCCUCUGCUCUGAGGCCAACACCAGGAUGGGUUUGCAAGACUCUGCAGGUCACUACAGGAGACAGAGAUGCAGAUGUCUUCUUCUGAAAGAAUUCACCUCUACAGACUGAAGGCUGCUUGCUGGAAACAUCCGCGAAUUCUCUGAGAAGACCCAAGGAAAGACCAGAAGUGUUUGCAAGUGAAUCCUAGGGGAGCAUUUCUCAGCCACCGACCGUGUGGAGAUGCUGAGGGACACUCCAGCUCCUCAUCCUUCGGCUUCUGUGUUCCACGCUGACUCUGCGUGGGCCACAGCAGAGUGCGCUCCAGAUACCCACCAUGGCAAACUGGCUGAUAAUACUGGCUUUACCUUCUUCCUGUCUUUCUACUCAUGUGUUCUGGGUUUGCCCUCAAAUAAGCUGCUUGUGCUCAGAUCCUUGUCAGGGAGCUCACCCUGAGACACAUUUACUGCCCUUGCUCAUUGACAGUCAACACUAGCUGGUGCUCACUGGAGAUGCCCCGGGGAAUCUGCAGGGAUCCGUCAUGCUCCUGCCUGCUUCCAGGUUGGAUUUGAAACCUAAGGUCUCCAAGAAUAUCAGUAUCAAUCAGCCGCACGCUGAGAGUUACUCCUUCACCUGCUGGCCGUUAAGGAGCUCCCUGACCAAGUGGUGACUGCAACCUUCAGUUUUGUGGAGUUCUUACUGAUGUCUCCCUCCCCUGCAAAGAGCCAGUACCUCUGACCUUUCAGAUUCCAGAUUUGGGGGCUAAGUUCCACAAGUAGGACAUUGAGUAUGAUCAUGGAAGGGGCUGCUUUUGAUUCCACUCCUUGCUUACUGGAGUGGACUGUUUUUCUUGUCAUCAGAGACUAAAAUAUGUUGGCUGUUGGCUAAGUUCUAGCCAUUGAAAACCAGACUGUAACUUGAUUCAAUGCAUAUGCUGCAUUCUUGAGAUGAGUUCCCUAACUUCACAUGUGCUGAACUCCGUUUGGCAGAUCAGCCAAGCUUUGACAAGCUGCCCCGUUCAAUCAGAUUGGCCGCUUUGGUUGAUGGUUCCAUAGUAAGACCAAGGAAUCCUGUGGCCACAAGCCCACUAACACAGCACCAUUGCUAUAAAUGAGUUCCUUAUUCGGAGGAUGGUUGGGAAGAUGAAAUGAGUUCCUCAAAUAAAGAGAAGUGUACCUGACCCAGAGUAUCCUUUGUAGGACUAAGUGGCCAUCUGGAGGAAGAUCUCUAGGGAAGGAAGAGGAACAAAUAUUCUCUGUUCCACAGAAUUCUGUGGGAGAAAUAAAUCCUUAAUUUAGGCCAAAGAAGUGCAACUAAAAUAGAGGUGACCUAGCUUCGUGUUGAGUGUUUAUUUUAUACCAGUCCCAACACCGUAUUGGAAAAGACCCGCUAAGAGUUUGCACUCCUAGUCUUUUAGAAAUGAUGAAGAAAAGAUGCUUUUAGCAUCCGGAAGUGGAAGCAGCCGGAAAUGAAAAUGUUAUGUUGUCUCAAAAGUAAACUCUUUCAGGGCGAGGCCCCUCAGGCAAGUUAAUCUUCCACAGUUCAGUCUCCUUCCUUGCUCCUGAAAACAUCAGUGAGCCCUGUCGAAUCAUUUCGUUUGUGUGUGUGUGUGUGUGUGUGUGUGUGUUUGACAAAUCUUUUGUUUAAAGAAAAUCAUAGUAGAAUAGGAUAGAUACAGAGAGUAUAGGGAAGCAACGAAUACCGUAGCAAAAUGUUGACUGCAAGUGUUUCUACAUUUUCAGAACGAUGUCAGAAUUCCUCCCGGAAGCAGGAAUAUUCUUUUGUUGGGGGCAACGAUGAAUAGGUUAUGGGAAGGCAGGGCCCAAACAGGGCCUGAAGGGAAGAAGUGGGGAUGGGGAGGAUCGUAACGAAGCGAAGGGGUAGUUUUCUUGGUUUGAGGCAACUCAGAAUGGAAUUAACCGAUUUUUCAGCUUCCUGGGGUGACAGAUGUGGGGUGGAAAAAGCCAAAGGCCUGGCAAUGAAUGGGUUUCUGAGGCUGAAGCCUCCCCACCCCCACCCCAACAUCAGGGGCAGUAGCAUUGCUUUGGAGUUUUGUUUUCCCUUUGCAAGAUAAUCCCUUAGGAAAUCCUCAGACUUCACUAAAGCCGAAUUAUUUAUUUAUUUAUUUCUUAAAGAUUUUAUUUAUUUAUUUGACAGGUGAGAGACAGUGAGACAGGGAGCACAGGCAGGGGGAGUGGGAGAGGGAGAAACAGGCUCUGCAUUGAGCAAGGAGCUGGAUGCGGGUCUCGAUCCCAGCUGGGAUCAUGACCUGAGCUGAAGACAGAUGCUUAACGACUGAGGCACCCAGGUGCCCCGUGCUGCUUGAUUCAAUAAUCUAAUGCCUGUCUUGUUUGCAGGCUGCCUUGGGAAAUGCAGGCUGCCUAUUGUGCCCCCUCCACCUCAACCCCUAGCCUCAAAUGGAUGGGCUGCUUAUGGAGAAGACAACCCUUGGAGAAGCAGGAGAACUACCUAUCUAUAUCCAGGAGUGAUUAGGGAGAAAGGCAGAUGGUCAUUUGCAUUCUGAGGAGACUAGACUCUAUUAUGACAUGUAAGCACUCCCAGAGAAUCCCCAGAAAUAUUUGUAAAGUGACUAUUUUCCUGUUCACAGGAUUGAAGCUUUGGUCUAAUUUGUUUGUAUAUUAAGAAAAGGGCAUGCUUAAAGGGCUGGUUAAUUUGGAAACACUCAGAUUCCAUAGGAAACGGAUAAAAGCAGAGAUGCUCUGGCCAGAGAGAGACUCUUGGCUUCCAUGAAGGGGUUCUCUGAGCCCACAGGAUAUUAGCACUGUAUUUUGCAGAUGAUCAAUAAAGGUUGGCUGGAUGAAAGAUUAAACAAAUGAAUGAUCUGUGAUCAACCACGUAAGGUCCUCUGUUUAAAGACAAGGACUGAAAGAUUUGUCAGAGCCAAAAUAACUGAGAAAAUGAAGUAUUUGGACAACUGUGCCAUUAGACAAGUUGUUUGGGUACAAAGAAAAAAAUUUUUCCAGAUAAUGCCAAAAUGAUCAUCUCAUUUCAGCAUUAUGAAAAUACAUCCAGCUGGCUAUGUUAUCCAGAAAAGCGAUCAAAUGGUCAUCUGGAUUAUUUGUCUUCAUACCAAGUAAGCAGGAUUUUAAAAACUUGUCAUCUCAUUUUUCAAUUAGCUGAGAAAAUGAGUUGUCUGCUUCAGUGUGUUAGCCUGAAUAAUAGAACUACGUUCUUUUAGGCAAAUUAUCUAUUAAGUCCACACAGUUAAGAAUUAUGUGUGCAUGUGUCUAUUUAUUAUGGGAACAAAAAAGGGACUGGAAUGGGUAAGAUAAUGUACAUCUAAAAAGUUAGAAGACAGAAUUGUAUGGGUGAGCUAGAGCUGUUCAUUUUCAUUUUAUGAUAAGUAAAAGAAAGCCUUGUUAGAGUUUAAAUUCAUGAGCAUUGGUUUUGGAAAGGAAAAUAAUAAAUAGUGAGUCUUAGAGGACAUAGGACAGUCUUAUAGGAUAUAGGACAGCUCAGGAGCCCUAGAUGUUACCCUCCUGGGGAAGAAUUCCUUCAUGGUGGGGUUGGGCUGAUCUACAGGACUCUGGGCAGUGUUUUGAUUGGUUUGGACCCUUGCCUCUAUGGUAUAAACCUAGAGAAUAAGAGAAGAAAUAAUUAGUUCUUUGAUCACUUAUCAGGACUCUAAAUAUCCUUCUCUCCAGAUCUAAGUUUUAAAACUUUUACUCAAUUCGCUAUUCAUUGACUUCCUACCAUAUGCCAGGCAUUGUGUUGGGCAUACACAUGGGGUAAAUCAGUGAACAAAGAGCAUAGUUUCUGCCUUCAUGGAGCAUAGAUUAGAAGGAUGUGAGCAGCAUGUGCAUACAUAAAUACAGACUAUGCUAUGAAGGAACAUGUGAUGUUCUAAAUACGUGAUGUACUGUGUGUAAAAGUUGGGGAUGUUGUGGGAUAGGGUGUGGUAGUCAGAGAAGUCUUUUUUGAAGACAUGACAAUUGACCUGAGAUCUUAAGGGUAACUGCCUUUAUUAUAAAGACUUUGCCAUAUGAUCAAGUAGUUCUCCUUCUGGGUAUAUAUCCAAAGGAAACAACAACAGGAUAUUGAAGAGAUAUCUGCACCCCUAUGUUCGCUGCAGCAUUAUUGACAAUAGCCAAGGUGGAUGCAACCUAAGUGUCCACUAAUGCAUGAAUGGAUGAAGAAUAAUGAUGUGUGUACAAUGGAAUCUUCAGCCACAAGAGAGGAGACCCUGCCUUUGUUUCAACAUGGAUGGAUCAUGAGGACAUUAUGCUAAGUGAGGGAAGUCAGACAGAGAAGGACAAGGACUGCAUGGUAUCACUUACAUAUGGAAUCUUGAGAAAAGAAAAGGUCAGAGUCAUAGAGUAGAAAAGUGGUUGGAUGGUGAGGGAAAUUGGGAGAGAUUGGUAAAAAGGUACCAACUUGCAGUUGUAAAUGAAUCAAGUCUGAGAUCUAAUGUCAAACAUGAUGACUAUAGUGAAUAGCACUGUAUUGUAUAAUUGAAAGUUCCUCAGAGAAUAGAGUUUAAAUGUUCUCACACAUACAAAAAAGAGAUAAAUCUGUGAGGUGAUAUGUUGAUUAACUAGAUGGUGGGAAUAUAUCCACAAUGUAUAUGGAUACCAAAUCAGCACAAUACAUGUCUAUAUAUCUUACAAUUGUAUGUCAAUAAAGUUUAAAAAAAAAA
Long non-coding RNA from Mustela lutreola (European mink), 4852 nucleotides. RefSeq lists it as uncharacterized. The record is from RefSeq and is a predicted model, not a curated record. Lineage: Eukaryota; Metazoa; Chordata; Mammalia; Carnivora; Mustelidae. The transcript is spliced from 4 exons.